This 892-nucleotide unclassified non-coding RNA is filed under the name Hevea brasiliensis (rubber tree). The record is from RNAcentral. Lineage: Eukaryota; Viridiplantae; Streptophyta; Magnoliopsida; Malpighiales; Euphorbiaceae.
GGAAACACGUAGAAGACGGGUGAACUCAUUCACCAAAACCCCCUUUUUCAGUUAUAAACCAAAACCCAUUCUUUUUUUCUUAACAAAAAGUAUAUACCCUUUUUGAAUUUCGUUCGUCGGCGGCCGGAGUUUCCACCGGAAACACGUCGGAGACGAGUAAACCCACCUACCUCAUUUCACUUCCAUUUAAACCCAUCAAUUUUUUUUUCAAAAAUCGAACACCCUUUUCGAUCUUGCUUCAGAAAAGUUGCUAAAUUUCGCAGAACCAGUGUUUUAUAAUGGGGACAGAAGAAAAAUGUGCUGUUUUGUAUGGUAAAUAUGAGCUCGGACGAGUUUUGGGUCAAGGUUCUUUCGCUAAAGUAUACCAUGCUCGUAACGUGGUAACAGGGGAGAAUAUAGCAAUGAAAGUUGUUGGAAAAGAGAAGGUGAUAAAAGUAGGAAUGAUGGAGCAAAUCAAAAGAGAAAUCUCCGUCAUGAAAAUGGUGAAACAUCCAAACAUAGUCGAGCUUCACGAAGUUAUGGCAAGCAAAACGAAGAUUUACUUCGCCAUGGAAUACGUUAAAGGCGGUGAAUUGUUCGAAAAAGUAGCUAAAGGUAAGCUUAGAGAAGACAAUGCUCGAGGGUAUUUCCAGCAGUUGAUUUCUGCAAUUGAUUUUUGUCAUAGCCGUGGUGUUUAUCACAGAGAUUUAAAGCCUGAGAAUUUGCUGUUAGAUGAAGAAGGCAAUCUUAAGGUAACCGAUUUCGGACUUAGUGCUUUUACUGAUCAUUUAAGGCAAGAUGGUUUAUUGCAUACAACUUGUGGUACUCCUGCUUAUGUUGCCCCUGAAGUACUUGGUAAUCAUGGAUAUGAUGGUGCAACAUCAGAUAUUUGGUCAUGUGGAGUGAUUCUUUA